This 73-nucleotide transfer RNA is filed under the name Xylariaceae sp. FL1019. Its description in RNAcentral is "tRNA-Val". It matches the Rfam family "tRNA". Rfam says of the family: Transfer RNA (tRNA) molecules are approximately 80 nucleotides in length. Their secondary structure includes four short double-helical elements and three loops (D, anti-codon, and T loops). Lineage: Eukaryota; Fungi; Ascomycota; Sordariomycetes; Xylariales; Xylariaceae. The record is from RNAcentral.
GGUUCCGUAGUGAAGUGGUUAUCACAUCAGUCUCACACACUGAAGGUCUCCGGUUCGAACCCGGGCGGAAUCA